This 73-nucleotide transfer RNA is filed under the name Ictidomys tridecemlineatus (thirteen-lined ground squirrel). RNAcentral's name for it is "Spermophilus tridecemlineatus (thirteen-lined ground squirrel) tRNA". It matches the Rfam family "tRNA". From Rfam's summary of the family: Transfer RNA (tRNA) molecules are approximately 80 nucleotides in length. Lineage: Eukaryota; Metazoa; Chordata; Mammalia; Rodentia; Sciuridae. The record is from Rfam by way of RNAcentral.
GGGGAUAUAGCUCAUUUGGUAGAGUGCUUGCCUUGCAUGCACAAAGCCCUGGGUUCAAUCCCCAGCACCACUA